Molecule: long non-coding RNA, 5108 nt
Organism: Solanum lycopersicum (tomato)
Lineage: Eukaryota; Viridiplantae; Streptophyta; Magnoliopsida; Solanales; Solanaceae
Source: RefSeq, a predicted model, not a curated record
CACCUUUGACUAAAAAUACAUAAAAUGGAACAUAGUAGAGGGCAAGAGGCACACUUUUGAUUUGGACUCAAUAGAAGCAGAAGAAGGGCAUUUGGUAAAAAUUGGGAGAAUCAGAGAUUCACUUCACUUUGGCAAAUGGCGAAUCAGAUUCGUCUUGAAGCAGUACCUCUUCUAGUAGUCGUACUUAUUGGUGCCCAUGUCCUCGCUUUGGUGUACUGGAUUUAUCGGCUAGCAAAUCAGAAGCAACCCAUGAGGCUUAAAAAGCAAUAGCAUUCACUUCGUUUUUUCGGUUUUUGCUCUUUUUUAUCCUGUUAAAUUUUAUGUUUGGGGACAUUGAAAUGGUUGACAAUUUCAGUUGAAUAGAGAAAUUGGGUUUGUGUAUUUUAUGUUUUGUGCCCCUUGGUCCCUUUUUAAUACAAUUUUGCUUUUGUUAAUGCUGGAUAACUUUAGUUAUUCCUUAUAAGUUAUUGAGAGUUUGGGUUCUUGAAAUUCCAAAGGGUAAUCUAUACCUUUAUUGUACUUUCCAUUUUUUGAUUGUUAAAGGUAUUUCAUUGAAAAGAAAGUGCUCUUUCUCUCUAUAUAUAUAUAGGAAAAACUGCUGCAAUUGAAAAGAGCCUAAAAUUCUGUAUCAUUUGCAAUAGCCAUGUUACAUACACACACAAACAAAAAAGUGAAGAUUUAUUUGCAAUAGCCUGGCACAGGCUGGCACUCAAUGCUCAAGCACCCAUUCAUUCUGGACCAAAAGCUAUUAUUUGUAUUGAGAAACUGGUUAUGCUUACAAUUUUUUUGUCUAACAUGCUGCCUGAGAAACCAGCCGACUGAAGCAUUCCAACUUUUAAAGGUGCUUUGUUUCCCCGGAUACACUUCAUGGCCAAAAGGAGAUGCUGUCAGGUAAGUCACUUUGAUGUUUAUAAUGUGCGCCGACUGUGAAUUUCCCUUUUGCAUCACCCUUCCACAUAAGAGAAGAUGGUCUGGAAGAUGAAGGGUGCUGUUAUGAGUUUCCUAUUCUCUCUUUUGCUUGAGAAUGAACUUUGGUGGGGUUCUGUUCAGUUUCUUUUUAUGUUUGUUUCAUUUAAUUUUGACAUAUUUAAAUUGUGCUCUAUAUUUAACAUUGAAUUUAUGUUCUUGAAAGUCGAAUUGGGAAAUAUACAAUUAAGUCAGGAUAUGAAUAUGUGCUUCAUAGAGUUGCUUUAGCAUAUCUGCAUGAAAGGCCAAAUUAUGACCUGUUCCGUUGAACCUCUUCCUCUUCCCCUUGAGUAAAAGCAAAAUACAUUGUACAUAAAAGGCUAAAUAUGUAGAUAACCCGUUAAACAUGACAUGUUUUGUGAGAUAACCUUACAAACUUAUAGAGUAACCAAGUUAGACACUUCUACAUGACAAAAACGUACCUUCUAAACACAUAGUCAGAAAAACUGAGCACAUGAAAAUCAUAUGCUGAUGAUGUAUCAAAUGUCAAAUGAAAUAACAAUAUGUGUCAAAAUUGAAGAAUUUUUUUUAAAAAUAAAAACAGGCCCACCCCCACGAGACUACACCUCAACUGAUUAAGUAUAAGUGUCUAACUGGUCACUCUAUAAGUUUUUGAUGAAAUCUUACAAAUUGUGCCAAGUUUAAGGGGCUCUCUAGGUAUUUAGCAUUAUUCAAAAAAAUUUAGUUCACAGGUUUAACCGUGGGUGACGGAGACCCGAUGGUGUGAGCGUUGACCUUCUUGUUCCUUUAUUUAUUGGGGAAGAAGAAAGUGGGGAAAAUGGACCGCUUGGUGUUUGGCCUUGUUCAUCUGAUUCUGGAAAAUUCUUUUCCAAAUAUGGCAUCAUUUAGGGAAAUUUUGUGUCUGUUAGAUCAGAUUUCUAUCUUUUUUUUAUGAUCGUUGUGUACAGGCCAAUUUUCACAUAUCUUUAUUAAUUUCACGGAAUAUCUGUCACCUCCCACCACCAACAAGUGCACAACAAGUACCAAGUAACUCUAUUCACCAAGACUAGGAUAGAUGGGAAGUAUCACCUAGUGUAUUUUUUUGUCUCCGCUAUAUUUUGAACUGAGAUCUCAGGGUUCUCAACCACUAGGGCAAAACCAUGGGUCAGAUUUCUCAUCAUUUCUUGUUAUCUUUUUCUGCAAGCUGGUCAAAUGGCAUUAAUUGGUUUGCAUGACAACACCUAAAGCGAAAUCAACUUCUUCUGCUGCUUUUCAAUUUUAAUUUCUAUGGCAAGCAAUGUGUCUAUUACUGCUAAAAUGUAAUUGUCACUAGUAAUUGCCUCUAAAAACCAUAUUUAGUGGCAACUAAACUAUUGUCAUUAAUUAAUUGCCGCUAAAGAUCAUUUUUGGUGUAGUGUUAGGAGUAAAUUGGCUACUGAACUUUUGUACUUAUGUGUUCGGUCAAUCUUCUAAGUCGUAUAUUCAUUUUGGUUGAUCACUGUAACUGGAAACCAACAUCCUAGCCCAACUUCAGUCGCAACGCCUGAAGAUAUCCAUACUUUAUACACUAAGAUGCUUGAGAGGCUGGACUUUGUUGAAAUCAUUUUUUCUCCUUUCUUGAAUUUCCUAAGUGUCUCUCCCAUCUCUGAGUAGGACUCUGUACAAAACUGAGGCUCAACUUUGAGCUAGCACUUCUUAGUUCCCAUUAUGCCAAGCAACGGGCAGAUUAACAAAAAAUGCAUGAGGAACCUUGUUGAGUUUCAAAUUUUAAUGCACCUAGUAGAAGUGCCAUUGCAAGGUUCGUGCUUCUUGGUUAUAGAAUCAAUGUAAGCCUAAAAGAGUUCUAUUACUAACAAAAUUCUUUUUAAAUAUACUAAUAAUGUAUAAUGAUACAUCAUAUGCAGCAGUGAGUUUUAAUGUAAUAAAUUUAUUCUUUGCCAAACCGAAGUGUAUAUUUCACUCACUUCCUUGCUACUCUUUCAAAAUAACUUUUAUUCUCCUAGAGAAAAAUAAUUUACCACCUAAUGUAAGGAACAAAUAACUUAUAACAUAAUGACAAAAAGAGAAGCUUAGCCUACUAAAUUACUUUAAAGUACUUGAGAGUGUAAUUAUGUUGCAUUAAAACGUCAGGUUAAGCAACAUGCAAUGUUAGAAAACACAUGUGAAAAAAGAAAAAAAAGUUUUGGUUGAGUCGAGCAUAUUAUCAUAUACCUUGGGUGCGUUGGCAUUUACGCUUUCCAUCUACUACACAAAACCUUCAACUACGUGGAAGAGAACUCAAAAGCAUUUGCAUUGAUCUUUACUGUUUUGUUACUUUGAAUCUGGAAAAGGCUUCUUCGAGGAGCAAAAGAAAGGUAUUGCUUACUUUCUGCUGGUUGUUUUAAUUUUCCAGUUUUGGUUAGAUUUUUGCUAUAGCGAGGACUUAUGCAUUUAAUGAUAAACUGGUGAGUGUUUCCUGCUUUAUUAGAUAUUCAUUUUAUUUACUGUGUCAUCGCUAACUCUAGAAGUUAUGGAAUUUCUUAUGGCUAUUCUAGAAUUACUUGUGCCUUUUUCCAUUUUCUGAACUAAUUCUUCUUAUGUAUGUUCUUGAAUAUUGGUUGUAAAUUUUUAAAAUUAUGUCCAGGUUGCUACUCAAAUGGAAAAAGAAAAUUAAUUUAAUAAAGGCUAUUGUAGUUAUUGUCGAGCCUUUGGGUCAAGUAUUCUGCAUAUGCAUAUACUUCAUUACAACUAUUACAUGACUUGAGACUUUUAGCUUUCUCAUGAAGAUAAUGUUGGGAUUUUCCAUACAAUAUUUUGGAUAGCUUGGUUAUUGAUGCAAAAUUUGCAAAAUGACGCAUUGAUUGCUUUUACCAAUUUGUAGUUUUAUUAUAAGGGAUGAGGUUAUGUAGGAAUAUAAUUUGUUUCUACGUCUAAAUGUAUUUGUGAUUUGAGGUACACUGCGUCCUCUUUAUUUUGCAACUAUUUCUUACUCUGUAGUCUUGUCACACACUCACACAGGAUAAGCUCGCCACCCACCUGCUGGCCAGGUGAAGUGAAAUUAUCUUUCGGUCAACUAUCGACCCAGUUAAGUGCACAAAACACGGUAGAAUCAUGCAAUGCACGCUGCUGGUGUGCUUCUUGCUAGCGAGGAAAGGCAUAAAGGAGACAGGGUUCAUUUCAAGAUCUGUCCAAUGUAUGAAUAAAGAACUAACCUUAAUGGAGAGAGAGAGAGAGCGAGAGAGAGAGAAAACGGGUAAGUUUUCUGCACUUAGGAUUUCGUUUGCAGCUACAUUAUGAAAAAGAAGUUGUAUUGAAAAGAAAAUGACGCUGCUCCUUUCAAAUUCCUUAACUUUUAGAGAAGAAACCUAUCUCUUUUUUGGUCAAUUUUAUGGUUCUUUAGUUUGUUCAAUUUGCCUUUGAAGAUCCAAGGUACAAUUUUCUUGUAGAUAUAUGAAAUGGUUCUACAAAAUUAUGCUAUAAAAUGUCAAUGCUCCUUUGUUGGAUUUGACAAUGAGCUAACCCUCUGUUCAUUUUACUUUUGGUUUCUAUAAUUAAUUAUUUUUUUUGUUUACUUUGUUUGCAUAUUUGGAAAUGUAUGUAUUUCAAUGUGAACACUGAAUGUUUUCCUAAAUAUAUACUUCCAAGAAUAUCCAUAAAGAGAAUUUAUGUAUAUAAUUUGUAAUUGUAAUGUCAUCUUUAAUGAUUCUGUGACAUUUUGUUUUCAGAGAUAUUGCUGAAUUCAUCAUCGUUAGUAAAAAAGGUGGAGACUGAUUUAUUUUUUUGUACUUUGAUUUUGCAUCUGUUCCUUCCACUCAGGUACUAUGUGAUUGCAGUGAUUCAUGAAAUAUUGAUUAUUUUCCUUAGUAAUCACCCAUGUACGGUGUUUUACAUCUAAUUUUUGACGUCUUAAGCAGCCUAUCAUGCUGAUGUAUAUCAAUUUUCCUAUUAUAUGGUGUACUUCUGCCAUGUUGGUUUUAUUGUUCUAGAAACAUGCAAAAGAUACUUUGACAUUCUAUUCUGUAUUUCAAGUUGAAUUUGCAAAUUUUCUGGUUUUUGCUUCUUUUCACUUGUUUUUGUUCUACUAACUGCAACUCUAUUGUAAAAGGGGGAAAAUCGAGUGACAUCUUCUUGUCCCAUUUUCUCAUCUCUUGCUAGGGAAUUACCCUUGUGGUUUAGGAGAAUUGAAGGUGCUUCUACUAAUCUAAUGCAAACUUGCUGCAAAA